UCUGUGUGUGUGUGAGAGAGUACUGUAGCGACUGUGUGUGUGAGAGAGCGACUGUGUGUGUGAGAGAGCGACUGUGUGUGUCUGUGAGAGCGACUGUGUGUGUCUGAGAGCGACUGUGUGUCUGUGAGAGCGACUGUGUGUCUGUGAGAGCGACUGUGUGUGUGUGAGAGCGACUGUGUGUCUGUGAGAGCGACUGUGUGUGUCUGUGAGAGCGACUGUGUGUGUCUGUGAGAGCGACUGUGUGUGUGUGUCUGAGAGUGACUGUGUGUGUGUCUGGGUGUCUGUGAGAGUGACUGUCUGUGUGUCUGUGAGAGUGAUUGUGUCUGUGAGUCUGUGAGUGACUGUGUCUGUGAGAGUGACUGUGUGCGUGUGUCUGUGAGAGUGACUGUGUGCGUGUGUCUGUGAGAGUGACUGUGUGCGUGUGUCUGUGAGAGUGAC
Long non-coding RNA from Oncorhynchus tshawytscha (Chinook salmon), 438 nucleotides. The record is from Ensembl. NCBI's taxonomy places the organism in Eukaryota, Metazoa, Chordata, Actinopteri, Salmoniformes, Salmonidae.